GAUGAACGCUAGCGGCAGGCCUAACACAUGCAAGUCGCGGGAGAAGCCCUUUCGGGGGCAGAAACCGGCGCACGGGUGCGUAACGCGUAUGCAACCUACCUUUCACAGGGGGAUAGCCCGAAGAAAUUUGGAUUAAUACCCCAUAAUAUUAUUGGAUGGCAUCAUUUGAUAAUUAAAACUGCGGUGGUGAAAGAUGGGCAUGCGUCCUAUUAGCUAGUUGGAGUGGUAACGGCACCCCAAGGCUACGAUAGGUAGGGGUCCUGAGAGGGAGAUCCCCCACACUGGUACUGAGACAGAGACCAGACUCCUACGGGAGGCAGCAGUGAGGAAUAUUGGUCAAUGGUCGGAAGACUGAACCAGCCAUGCCGCGUGCAGGAAGAAUGCCUUAUGGGUUGUAAACUGCUUUUAUAUGGGAAGAAUAAGGCGUACGUGUACGUUGAUGACGGUACCAGAUGAAUAAGCAUCGGCUAACUCCGUG
RNAcentral lists this ribosomal RNA (478 nucleotides) under uncultured bacterium. RNAcentral's name for it is "partial 16S ribosomal RNA". It matches the Rfam family "Bacterial small subunit ribosomal RNA", at positions 28 to 507 of the family's 1533-position model. The record is from RNAcentral.